GAUUAAUUUUGUUAUGAAUUAACACCACGCUUUCCUGCCAUGCACCGACUGUAAAGCACAGAGAUGUUUCUGGAGAGUUUUUAUAACGUUUAGGAAAGGUGAUUUAAAAAUGCUGGCACAGAUCCAAGUCCAGGAGGAAGCCAAGCCUUCACAAACCACAAGGAUUUGCAGGCACUGGGGUGGAAGCAGGAGAUGUCAAAGUGUGGGUCAAGAAGAUUGGCAGUCCGAAUGGUCCAAAGAUCAGGGCUCAGCCUGACUAGCCUAGGCACAAGCCUAUCUUAACUGGUGCUUGGCAGAGGUCUUUGUGUUCUCUCUCCACUGUUCUUCAGAAGGGUCUUGCAGCAAAGAAGGAUCUGCAGUGCUGGAGAUGCUGUUGGCACCCAGUUUUGUGAUAAAGUGAUGAGCAGGAAAUGAGGAGCUUCACCAGAUGCUGUGUGAGGAAUCACCUAUUUGCAGCCUGUGUUGUGCUACAGUCAGAGUCAAUGGAUGAAAAAUUCUGAGCAAAAUUUCCUAAAUGCGUUACUGUGUUCGGGACAGAUGACGUGACGCAAUCAGAAGAGGCCAGUUCUUCUCCAGUGCCCUAUCUGAAAUUUUCAGUUCUCCAAGGAUAAGGGGGUGUUGACGCACCUAAGCUGCAUGGAACAGGUGAGAUUUCUUAUUACAGAUCUUGCAGGAAGAAUGUUGGAAAUUUGGGGCUUUUCUCUGCCCAUAUAGUUGCUUAGGACCUUCAGAUACUAAUCUGAGCAAUGUGUUUCAUUUAGUUUUAGAUAAGAAACGAUGCAUGUUGAAAACAUAUGGAAAAUGAAUGCUCCUUUUUCCCGUGUUCUGUGUUUGGCCCUAAUGGUACAAAAAUACACAAGUAGUGUCUUCUCUCCUUCACAUCCAUAUGGAGAGAUUGGUCACUCUAUGGGUCUUAAAGCUUACUUAGCAUCAAAGGAUGCAAGCCCUGGGACACUGUGAGUGCCUCAAGCUGAAAGCCAUCUCCUUUUUCUCUCCUCACUGGCUAUCAUGGCAAUUUCCAAGCUCUACAGGCACUCCCUGGGGGACUAAAUAGAGUUUGUUCUUCCUCUUUCUGCUUUGUCAGUUGAAGAGAUGAAACAGAACUGAGCUGUAAUUCCCAGCUCUCUGCGGAGUACUUGAUGUAUUAAAGAUGGAAAAUCUGUUUUGUGAAAGGCCAUGGGAUAUCAGUGUUUCUAUUUGGUUCCACUUGGAACAAAUGCUCCAAAAUCUGAAAUUCCUCAUGUGGUGGGGGCAGGGGAAGCCAAACAAAUAAAAGAUAGUUUCCAUUACAAUGUAUAAUAUGAGUAAUUACCUUUACCUCCUGCUUAGGAGAAAAAGGCAUUUUAUGUCAAACAUUUCAUUCUUUAACUAAAACGCACUCAUUUUGAGAUUUGUCAGGGCCAUUUCUGUUUCAGUGAAAGAAAUUAUGGUUGGAGUAGUCAUGAUUACAGGAAGCAUUUGUGUUCUGAUGCCAAACAGUUCCAUCAAAGCCUUCUCAAUGAGUACUCGUUAUAUGACUUGGUAGUAUUACUUCUGCCCUAGGCUAGAGCAAAUGGGUUGUGGCUCAGCCUAAUGCAGCAAUGAAGGUACAAAACCCUGAUAAGGCUCUUUCAGAGUCAUUACAGCAGCAUGCACUGGGUGGGGCACGGGAAAGAGAAUAUACCCUCUGCUCUUCACUCAAAUGACAAGGGCCUUCCCAUCAGGAGAAAGAGACUCAGACUCGGCUCUGCUCUGCUCUCUUUGAAGUGUUAUAAUUAGAGCUGAUCUGCUAUGAGAAGAUAAGUGUUCUAAAUCUAGUUUAAAUUGUAUUAGCUUGCUCCCCGUGGAAACUAGAAAGACAUUUUGUGAUAUAAUAUUAAAAAUCUUUCUUGGGUCUUCUCUGGGAGUGAUACCAACCAUUACUCAAAGGCUCUCACCAGUCCAAAUCAACUCUUUUUACUCUUUGUAAUCCAUUUAUUCUAGAGCUAAAAUAAAACAUGAAAAAUGCUUAUUUCUUAGGAUGAACUGGAAUAGCUCCUAGGACUUAAUUGGUGAUAAUUUAUGCUGCAAAUGCCUGCUUGAAACAGUGUUUAUAAAUAUCUCACUUCAUGGAAAAAAAUUAUGAGUGGUGAUAGAAAUCUGUCUGGCAGAAAAUAACAUGUUAUCUGCCAGAAGGAACAGAUUUGCAGUUGAAUGCAUUGUGGGUCCAGCUGUGUUAAAAAGCCAUAUAUUAAGGAUAAUUAAAAUAUUAUAAAUCACCACUCAGAAUGGUUUACUCCAGAGGUAGUCUUCUGAGUCAAUUGCUACUGAAACUUAGGAGGGAACUACAAGUCCAAAAUUAGAGGUUGAAAUCAGGGAAAAGAACUCAAAUGAUUACUUCUGGGAAGAAUUAUUUUCUUUAAACUUAUUUCUUAAAAGCACUGAUUCUCUCCACUAAUGAAAGGAUAAAGUCAAUGCCUGAGGGUGAAUAAUGUCAUCAAAAGAACACUUUCAGCCAAUUCAUAAGCAGUUUAACACAACUUUAGUGGAAAACUUUGUCUUCCUACACAUUCAAAACUUCUCCUCAAAGUUUACUUGCCUAUACUAAGGCCAGUGUAGUGCUAUUGAUUUCUUCUAAGAAUCAAGCCCCAUUAGUAAUUUAAUUUCAUUCUAAUUCAUUUACUUUUAUACGUACACAUAUGUACACUUCUGUAUUUACCAAUAAAAGGGAGGUUAGCGCUAAAUGAAACAUAUUCUCAAAGUCAUAGUUAACAAGACCUAACUAUAACUGAAUACUCAAAGGGAAAGAAAAAAUAUCUCAUGGCAAGAAACACUUUUGCAGGACACUUGAUAUGCAACAUUAUGCACUAUAAACUACAGUCAGGAAGAAAAAAAUCAGCUUGAUGACAUACACUGCAUCUGGGUCAUGGGCAGCUUGACAGUGUUUUUGCCUUGAGCUAUGGCUGUGUCAGCUUUAAUGUGACAUUUAACAUAUUUAACCAUGAACAUAUGACACAUCUUUAGAAAUCUUUAUUGUAUAAAUAGCCUAUUUUUACAUGCAUAAUUGCCAACAACAGUAAAUAAAAUUCAGCGUGAAGUGACAUUUUGUAAGACCUUAUCAGCUUUGUCCUGUGGCAUUAGUCUAGCAUAUGUUAUAGAACAUGAGACAUAUCCUGGAUUGUUUUUCUUUAAAUCCUGCACAUCGACAUUAUAUUUUAGACUCAGUGCUAUUAGUAACAAGAAAUGUGAACUUUAUAUGGAUCUGAGCUGUCUGUUCGUAUUUGCAAGGCCUUUGGACAACAGUGUAAAAUCUGUGUGACAGACUGUUGUAUUUUAUGACAGGAACCAGGGCAGCUUACCUUGGAAGGCAUCAGAAACUUCAUGCAAUGUCGUUGCAUAGUGCAUAGCAGUACCUAGGUAAUGCAUCCAGUGAUGCUUAAACCUCUGAUGCUCUAGAAUAAACAGCUUGAC
Long non-coding RNA from Numida meleagris (helmeted guineafowl), 3429 nucleotides. RefSeq lists it as uncharacterized. The record is from RefSeq and is a predicted model, not a curated record. The transcript has 5 exons. NCBI's taxonomy places the organism in Eukaryota, Metazoa, Chordata, Aves, Galliformes, Numididae.